This is a long non-coding RNA of Hyaena hyaena (striped hyena), 415 nucleotides long. RefSeq lists it as uncharacterized. The transcript is spliced from 3 exons. Lineage: Eukaryota; Metazoa; Chordata; Mammalia; Carnivora; Hyaenidae. The record is from RefSeq and is a predicted model, not a curated record.
AUGAAUAUGUCAGUUGAAUAUAUGGCUCUUGAAGCUCAGAAGAGAAUUCUGGGGAUAUAAACUUAGAAGUCAUCUGCAUAUAAAUGGCAUUUAAUGCCAAAAGAUUGGAUGUGAUUUGGAGAAGAGACUCCGGUCUGAGCUAUGGGGCUCAACGUUUAGAAUUCCAGUUGAGAAGGAGGAGUCUGCAAGUGGGUGCUGAGAAGCAGUGGCCAAAAAGGCCAAGCCACUCUCAUGGUGCAUCAGAUCUUUCAGAGGGGCUGUGACCCAAAGAAAUCCAAGGACUUAUGGAGCAAAUAGUUAUGUGAUAAUGUGAGCAGGAAACACAGAUGACAAAAUGAUGAAUUCUGGAAGGGUACCCUCAGCACUGAGUGUCAGCCAGGAAGGGGGCAGGAGCUGUUGGGAGUUGAGAACACCU